GUCGGGAAGAGGAAGAAAGAGGGUCUAAGAAUGGUUGGAAUGGGAACAUGGAGGAAAAUCUAAACCCUUUUCCAUCAUUAGGUGGAGAUUUGGCUGUGUUUCCCAAUGCCUCUCAUUCCUAUUAUUCUUAAUCACUUGUUCCUCUUCCUUUUGACU
This 156-nucleotide microRNA precursor is filed under the name Oryza brachyantha (malo sina). Its description in RNAcentral is "MIR2118 microRNA precursor family". It matches the Rfam family "MIR2118 microRNA precursor family". Lineage: Eukaryota; Viridiplantae; Streptophyta; Magnoliopsida; Poales; Poaceae. The record is from Rfam by way of RNAcentral.